Non-coding RNA from Arabis alpina (gray rockcress), 119 nucleotides. Lineage: Eukaryota; Viridiplantae; Streptophyta; Magnoliopsida; Brassicales; Brassicaceae. The record is from Rfam.
GGGUGCAAUCAUACCAGCACUAAUGCACCGGAUCCCAUCAGAACUCCGCAGGUACGCGUGCUUGGGCGAGAGUAGUACUAUGAUGGGUGACCUCCUGGGAAGUCCUCGUGUUGCACCCC